This is an RNA transcript of Bubalus bubalis (water buffalo), 2589 nucleotides long. It is a transcript of the gene named potassium channel subfamily K member 16, with no coding region annotated. The record is from RefSeq and is a predicted model, not a curated record. NCBI's taxonomy places the organism in Eukaryota, Metazoa, Chordata, Mammalia, Artiodactyla, Bovidae. The transcript has 6 exons.
CCCAACCAAAAACUGAGCAUGAACCUCUGAUUGCAGAUAGUUAAAAAAAAGUCAGCCAUAUGCUAUAAUGCCUUGGCCACCCUUCUCUCCUGUAGUUCAUCUGGGUUGUCCUGCUGUCUCCCACACUAGUUUGUGUGACUGCUCUAUCAUCAGAAAAUUCUCUGCAACCCUUUUCUAGGGAGAAGGUGGAUUCUUUACCACUGAGCCACCUAUUUAUAGCAAGAUACUAAUCCAAAAUAGAGGGCCACUGUACCUAUGAAUGGAUCCCUUAGAAGAAGAAUCUCAGGAGGAUCGACUUGAAUGAAAUGUUACAGAUGGGAGAUCUGGAAUCCUGAGGGAGACUCCUGAAGGGCUGGAUUAUGCAACCAAGAAGUGAAUGGGGAGUGUACCAUCCUUGGAAGUAAGCAGUUACUUAAAUCACUUCCUGCAGGAAUUAAUUCUCUUGAAGAAUCCUGGUUGUGAAGGGCUGAUCUUCACAUUCUCAGGACCCUGGGCUGUAUUGUUGAUCAUCUGUUCUUCAUAAAUAUAAGGAGAAGUUCUUACCAGAUAAUAAUAAAUAAACCUGUAGAAAUGUCCAAAUGGUGGCAGGCUACAGCCAUCCUCAAUGUCCCACAACAGCCUGUUAGGAUAAGCAAAAUCAAAUAGCCAAGGCUUUGAGUCUGAGGAGGGAACAGGGAUGAGAGGGCUAUGAGGAGACCCUCCUGCAGGGGACAGGUGAGGCUGAUGUAGGACAGCCCUGCUGGUGGCAGAGACAGUCUCCCAGAGAGAUCCUGUGGGGACCAAAAGAUUAUAACUCUACUAUUCCUGCCUUUGUGACAUCGGACAAGUGGUCUAACUUCUCUGAGCCUCAACUUUUUCAUCUGUAAAACAGAGAUGAGAAUGUCUACCUCCUGGGGUUACUUCCAUAAAUGAGAUAUUGUGCAAUAUGCUUGAGUUGGCCCAUGAGUGUUUGGAGUUAGUUAUUGCUCUGUUGGGAUACCCAGGAGAGCCACUGAGGGGCACAUGGCUCCUUGGGGACUGGAGAGGCCUGGUCCCAGUUCCCUGGUAUCUGAAGGCGAUAGAACUUGAGAAUGUCACUUGUCUCCAAGUGCCCUGCAUUGUACUGAUGCUCCUGCCCACCCUUCAUAGUAAGCACCUCGGAGUGAGCCAUGUGUCACUCACACUUGGCUAACCUGCUUACUUACUUUACAAUCCAAGUGUGUGCAAAGUCAUACAAAGUCUGUUGACUUCUAACUCCUAAUUUUGACAGUAAUACUCACAUACAGUUGGCUCUCUGUAUCUACAGGAUUUGCAUCAUGGAUUCAAUCAACCAUGGAUCAAAAAUAUUUUUAAAAUAAUUCCAAAAAGUUCCAAAAAGCAAAACUUGAAUCUGCUGCAUACUGGCAACUGUUGAUAUAGCAUUUACAUUGUAUUAAGUAUGAUAGGUAAACUAGAGAUAAUUUAAAGUAUAUAGAAGAAUGUAUGUAGGUUUUAUGGAAAUACUGCACCAUUUUAUAUAAGGAAUGGAGCAUCUACAAAUUUUUCUAUCUGUGGAGAUUUUAGAACCACUUCCCCACAGAUAAAGAAGGAUGACUAUACUUUCUCUGAAAUAUUCUCCUUGAUAUUUUAGACCUUCUUGCUAUGGAAUCAAUGAUAAAUAAUGGUAAAAUAAAUAGUAAUGGGAUUGAUAUUUUGAGGCCCAGAAAAUUUAAAUACUACCUUUCAAAUUCUCUGAGGCUGGCUUGACUAUGUUUUCUUUUUUAUUUUGGGCUUCUGGAGGCAUUCCCAUCAUAUCCCUAUAGUAAUUAUUCUUUUUUACUUUAACAUGUCUGCGAUGAAGUUCUGUUGCUUAAAACUAAGGAACCUAAAACAAUGAGUAGCUAGACAUAAUACCUCUGGACCGCAGUUUUCUCAUCUGCAAAAUGAGCAGUGUAAGCUAAUCUAUAAGAUGCCUUUGAUUUCUGUAAUUUUAAGUGUGUGUGUGUGUGUGUGUGUGUGUGUGAAUGUAGGAAGUGACAGCAGGGUCUGGGCCAUCAUGAGAUUCUAUCUGCUGCCAAAUAAAUGCUGAAUGAACCACAAAUGAUAAAUGGAAUUAGAAACUGUAAAUUUUGGACAUUAAACACUCAGAGGAGGUUGCCAACUUGAUAUAUGACAUGGUUACAUAAGCAUUAGAAAUACAGCUUUUAAUAACUUUCAUCAAGUCACUUUUGAACUUUGGGUGUUGGUGAGGCUAAGUGUGAAUGUAGCAAAGAAGGGUUUCUAGAGUGUCAUUUCAGGAAAAUAAGGAAAAACAAUAGAAAAUUGGUAGGUAUGAUGUUCCAAAAUGAGGCAGUUUCAGUACCAUCUGAUUGUCCUUGACCCCUGAUCUGGGACAGCUCUUUUCAAAUAAUUUCUGAGAAAUGAGUGGUGCCCUGUCUUGGAAGUGGGAGGGAUGGGUGCACUGCAGCUGUCCCUUCAGAAGAGAACAAGCAGGUGCAAUAUGGCAUUCUGGCCUCUUGAUGAUGAUUUAUGAGCUUUGGGCUUCAAUUACCAUGUGCUUGAUGGAGAUUUAAUUUGUUAUUGUUUUAGGAAUGUAGUUCCAAAUAUUUGAAAAAUAAAACUCAGCUCUAC